GACGAACUUUGGCGGCGUGCUUAACACAUGCAAGUCGAACGGAAAGGCCCUGCUUUUGUGGGGUGCUCGAGUGGCGAACGGGUGAGUAACACGUGAGUAACCUGCCCUUGACUUUGGGAUAACUUCAGGAAACUGGGGCUAAUACCGGAUAGGAGCUCCUGCUGCAUGGUGGGGGUUGGAAAGUUUCGGCGGUUGGGGAUGGACUCGCGGCUUAUCAGCUUGUUGGUGGGGUAGUGGCUUACCAAGGCUUUGACGGGUAGCCGGCCUGAGAGGGUGACCGGCCACAUUGGGACUGAGAUACGGCCCAGACUCCUACGGGAGGCAGCAGUGGGGAAUAUUGCACAAUGGGCGGAAGCCUGAUGCAGCAACGCCGCGUGCGGGAUGACGGCCUUCGGGUUGUAAACCGCUUUCGCCUGUGACGAAGCGUGAGUGAUGGUAAUGGGUAAAGAAGCACCGGCUAACUACGUGCCAGCAGCCGCGGUGAUACGUAGGGUGCGAGCGUUGUCCGGAUUUAUUGGGCGUAAAGGGCUCGUAGGUGGUUGAUCGCGUCGGAAGUGUAAUCUUGGGGCUUAACCCUGAGCGUGCUUUCGAUACGGGUUGACUUGAGGAAGGUAGGGGAGAAUGGAAUUCCUGGUGGAGCGGUGGAAUGCGCAGAUAUCAGGAGGAACACCAGUGGCGAAGGCGGUUCUCUGGGCCUUUCCUGACGCUGAGGAGCGAAAGCGUGGGGAGCGAACAGGCUUAGAUACCCUGGUAGUCCACGCUGUAAACGGUGGGUACUAGGUGUGGGGUCCAUUCCACGGGUUCCGUGCCGUAGCUAACGCUUUAAGUACCCCGCCUGGGGAGUACGGCCGCAAGGCUAAAACUCAAAGGAAUUGACGGGGCCCCGCACAAGCGGCGGAGCAUGCGGAUUAAUUCGAUGCAACGCGUAGAACCUUACCUGGGUUUGACAUGGAUCGGGAGUGCUCAGAGAUGGGUGUGCCUCUUUUGGGGUCGGUUCACAGGUGGUGCAUGGCUGUCGUCAGCUCGUGUCGUGAGAUGUUGGGUUAAGUCCCGCAACGAGCGCAACCCUUGUUCACUGUUGCCAGCACGUUAUGGUGGGGACUCAGUGGAGACCGCCGGGGUCAACUCGGAGGAAGGUGGGGAUGACGUCAAGUCAUCAUGCCCCUUAUGUCCAGGGCUUCACGCAUGCUACAAUGGCUGGUACAGAGAGUGGCGAGCCUGUGAGGGUGAGCGAAUCUCGGAAAGCCGGUCUCAGUUCGGAUUGGGGUCUGCAACUCGACCUCAUGAAGUCGGAGUCGCUAGUAAUCGCAGAUCAGCAACGCUGCGGUGAAUACGUUCCCGGGGCU
Molecule: ribosomal RNA, 1346 nt
Filed under: uncultured bacterium
Lineage: Bacteria
Description: partial 16S ribosomal RNA
Rfam family: Bacterial small subunit ribosomal RNA
Source: RNAcentral